GGCUUCGUGGUCGAGUGGUAAGGACUCUUGCCUCUCACCUUGGAGCCCGGGUUCGAUUCCCGGUUAAGGAGCUA
Molecule: non-coding RNA, 74 nt
Organism: Rhamnusium bicolor
Lineage: Eukaryota; Metazoa; Arthropoda; Insecta; Coleoptera; Cerambycidae
Source: the annotation of a GenBank genome assembly